AAGUCGUAACAAGGUUUCCGUAGGUGAACCUGCGGAAGGAUCAUUAACACUUACACAAAGAAUCAAAAGGCCCUCAAAAAGCCUUUUUCUUUUUUUGUGGUUUUGUUUUUUCCACCGUCAACCUUUGGUCUUUUUAUUCUUUUUAAUAUCUAUCUUAGUUUCAUUACUAGGAUUUAUAUUAAAAAUAAUUCUUUAUUUUUUAAACCAAAACAAACAAAUUAUCUGAAUCAAGACAAUAAAAUAUGGAAUGAGAUUCAUUUCUUUUUUCUAUUUUUUUAUUGCAAUGUUAAAAAUUCACAACGAAAGCACAACUCUUAACAACGGAUAUCUAGGUUCUC
Molecule: unclassified non-coding RNA, 338 nt
Filed under: fungal sp.
Lineage: Eukaryota; Fungi
Description: partial internal transcribed spacer region
Rfam family: Eukaryotic small subunit ribosomal RNA (bases 1-46)
Source: RNAcentral